RNAcentral lists this ribosomal RNA (443 nucleotides) under uncultured bacterium. Its description in RNAcentral is "partial 16S ribosomal RNA". It matches the Rfam family "Bacterial small subunit ribosomal RNA", at positions 338 to 795 of the family's 1533-position model. The record is from RNAcentral.
ACUACGGGAGGCUGCAGUGGGGGAUAUUGGACAAUGGGGGGAACCCUGAUCCAGCGACGCCGCGUGAGUGAAGAAGUAUUUCGGUAUGUAAAGCUCUGUCAGCAGGGAAGAAAGAAAUGACGGUACCUGACCAAGAAGCCCCGGCUAACUACGUGCCAGCAGCCGCGGUAAUACGUAGGGGGCAAGCGUUAUCCGGAAUUACUGGGUGUAAAGGGAGCGUAGACGGUUAAGUAAGUCUGGAGUGAAAGGCCGGGGCCCAACCCCGGGACUGCUCUGGAAACUAUUGAACUUGAGUGCAGGAGAGGUAAGCGGAAUUCCUAGUGUAGCGGUGAAAUGCGUAGAGAUUAGGAGGAACACCAGUGGCGAAGGCGGCUUACUGGACUGUAACUGACGUUGAGGCUCGAAAGCGUGGGGAGCAAACAGGAUUAGAUACCCUGGUAGUC